RNAcentral lists this ribosomal RNA (429 nucleotides) under Actinomycetes bacterium. RNAcentral's name for it is "Actinobacteria bacterium partial 16S ribosomal RNA". It matches the Rfam family "Bacterial small subunit ribosomal RNA", at positions 355 to 776 of the family's 1533-position model. The record is from RNAcentral. Lineage: Bacteria; Bacillati; Actinomycetota; Actinomycetes. RNAcentral also lists the same sequence under 1 other name.
UAGGGAAUCUUCCGCAAUGGGCGAAAGCCUGACGGAGCAACGCCGCGUGAGUGAUGAAGGUCUUCGGAUCGUAAAACUCUGUUAUUAGGGAAGAACAAAUGUGUAAGUAACUAUGCACGUCUUGACGGUACCUAAUCAGAAAGCCACGGCUAACUACGUGCCAGCAGCCGCGGUAAUACGUAGGUGGCAAGCGUUAUCCGGAAUUAUUGGGCGUAAAGCGCGCGUAGGCGGUUUUUUAAGUCUGAUGUGAAAGCCCACGGCUCAACCGUGGAGGGUCAUUGGAAACUGGGAAACUUGAGUGCAGAAGAGGAAAGUGGAAUUCCAUGUGUAGCGGUGAAAUGCGCAGAGAUAUGGAGGAACACCAGUGGCGAAGGCGACUUUCUGGUCUGUAACUGACGCUGAUGUGCGAAAGCGUGGGGAUCAAACAGG